GGGGACGUUUUGGAUUUGACAGGAUGUUUGGUGAAAAUAGGUUGCGUGUCCGAGCGCUGUUCUCGGUUAUCAACGAGCAAAACAAAUUAAAUGCUAAAAAUAAUGUAAUCGAAGCUGAUUUCUCUAGAGCUUACGCUUUAGCUGCUUAAUCGCUCGACGAAUAGCUACUCAUAGAGUCCAGCUUGCCGAUUUUAUGGGUCCAUUAUGCAAGACGCAGUGCAGUGAUUGGCAGUAGCUGCAUCAAGAUAACUGUCAAGGGUUUAGAGUUUCCCUCAAAUAAAACCUAGGCUCAACUUGUCAGGUUCUGAUAUUUUCCUGAGUUGAGCGAGAAAAUUAAUAUCUACACAUGUAGAGGCUUAUUUUUAUCCAUUUUGGACGUGGGUUCGACUCCCACCGUCUCCACCA
RNAcentral lists this transfer-messenger RNA (405 nucleotides) under Candidatus Melainabacteria bacterium. It matches the Rfam family "transfer-messenger RNA". From Rfam's summary of the family: Bacterial tmRNA, also known as 10Sa RNA or SsrA, is named for its dual tRNA and mRNA-like properties. Its role is to liberate the mRNA from a stalled ribosome. Lineage: Bacteria; Bacillati; Candidatus Melainabacteria. The record is from RNAcentral. RNAcentral also lists the same sequence under 1 other name.